UGCAACCUCAGAUUAGGUGAGACUACCCGCUGAAUUUAAGCAUAUUAAUAAGCGGAGGAAAAGAAACUAAAAUAA
This 75-nucleotide ribosomal RNA is filed under the name Epicauta tibialis. Its description in RNAcentral is "partial 28S ribosomal RNA". It matches the Rfam family "Eukaryotic large subunit ribosomal RNA", at positions 1 to 71 of the family's 3401-position model. Lineage: Eukaryota; Metazoa; Arthropoda; Insecta; Coleoptera; Meloidae. The record is from RNAcentral.